GCCUACGACCAUCUCACCCUGAAUGCGCCCGAUCUCGUCUGAUCUCGGAAGCUAAGCAGAGUCGAGCCUGGUUAAUACUUGGAUGGGAGACUGCCUGGGAAUACCAGGUGUUGUAGGCU
Ribosomal RNA from Petromyzon marinus (sea lamprey), 119 nucleotides. NCBI's taxonomy places the organism in Eukaryota, Metazoa, Chordata, Hyperoartia, Petromyzontiformes, Petromyzontidae. The record is from Ensembl.